UACAGGGGGUGCAAACGUUGCUCGGAAUCAUUGGGCGUAAAGCGCACGUAGGCGGUCUGUUAUGUCGGAUGUGAAAGCCCUUGGCUUAACUGAGGAAGUGCAUCCGAAACUGGCAGGCUAGAGUACUAAAGAGGGUCGCGGAAUUCCCGGUGUAGAGGUGAAAUUCGUAGAUAUCGGGAGGAGCACCGGUGGCGAAGGCGGCGACCUGGGUAGAUACUGACGCUGAGGUGCGAAAGCGUGGGGAGCAAACAGG
This 253-nucleotide ribosomal RNA is filed under the name uncultured bacterium. RNAcentral's name for it is "partial 16S ribosomal RNA". It matches the Rfam family "Bacterial small subunit ribosomal RNA", at positions 524 to 776 of the family's 1533-position model. The record is from RNAcentral.